GCUUGCCAUUUGCCAGAGUAUUCUACUUUCGACCUUUCGUUCUGCGGAUCUAGGGUUUCUCUUCGAAAUCACCACCAUCGUUUUCCUCAAUAGCCAUCGCCAUUCCCUAACCAACAUCACCUCAAACAAUCACUCAGGGAUUGAGGUUCAUGACAGCGCGUUUGGAAUUUUCAUCCGGAUCUAAAAUUUUGUCAGAACAAUAGGGUUUAAUAUUCUUUUAUACAUAUAUUUUGUUGCCGUUAAUCGAAAAAUUUGGGAUGAAUUUAAAGUAUUCUCGAUGAAACAAUCUGGAAUUUUUUUUGUGAAAGCCGCAACAAGAUUUUUGUGAUUUUGAAGUAGUAAAGAACAAGGGAAAAUGUACAAGUCUUUGGUAUACUAUAGGGAAGUGGUAUUGGGAGAGGUAGAGAUAUAUCUAGAAGAGAACCAGAACAUGCAUCUGAAAGAAAUCAGAAUAAGUCACUUCUCACAACCAAGUGAAAGGUGCACACCACUUGCUGUGCUUCACACCCUUGCUACCUGUGGUGUUUGCUUCAAAAUGGAGUCAAAGACCUUGCAGACAGAACAGCAACAGGAUGCGCUCUUUCACUUGCACUCUUCAUGUAUCAGGGAAAACAAGACUGCUGUAAUACCACAGGGUGGGGAAGAAAUACGUUUGGUUGCAAUGUAUUCACGGAAUAAUGAUAGACCUUGUUUCUGGGGAUUUGUUGUUGCCUCUGGACUCUACAAUUCAUGCCUUGCAAUGUUAAAUCUAAGAUGUUUGGCUUUAGUGUUUGAUCUGGAUGAAACUCUUAUAGUAGCAAACACAAUGCGCUCCUUUGAGGAUAGAAUUGAGGCGCUCCAUCGAAAAAUAAACUCUGAGGUAGAUCCACAACGAAUUUCUGGUAUGCAGGCAGAGAUUAAGCGAUACCUAGAUGACAAGUGUAUAUUGAAGCAAUAUGCUGAAAAUGAUCAAGUUGUUGAUAGUGGGAAAGUGAUAAAAGUUCAAUCUGAGAUUGUUCCAGCGUUGUCUGAUGGUCAUCAGUCUAUAGUUCGACCACUGAUACGGUUACAGGAAAAGAACAUUAUUCUGACACGCAUCAAUCCGCAGAUUCGUGACACUAGUGUUCUUGUGAGGGUGAGACCUGCAUGGGAAGAUCUCCGGAGCUACCUGACAGCAAGAGGGCGCAAGCGUUUUGAGGUUUUUGUUUGCACAAUGGCUGAAAGGGACUAUGCACUAGAAAUGUGGAGGCUUCUUGAUCCAGAUUUGAAUCUUAUAAAUUCAAAAGAACUAUUAGAUCGUAUUGUAUGUGUCAAGUCUGGUUUAAAGAAAUCAUUAUUUAAUGUAUUCCAAGAUGGAUUUUGCCAUCCAAGGAUGGCAUUGAUCAUUGACGAUCGCUUGAAAGUGUGGGAUGAGAAAGACCAACCCCGGGUGCAUGUUGUCCCUGCAUUUGCUCCGUACUAUGCUUCUCAAGCUGAAGCAAGCAAUGCUAUCCCUAUCUUGUGUCUUGCAAGAAAUAUUGCUUGCAAUGUUAGGGGGGGCUUCUUCAAGGAUUUUGAUGAUGGGCUCUUACAAAAGAUCCCUCUGAUUGCUUAUGAAGAUGAUAUCAAAGAUAUACCUUCUCCCCCCGAUGUGAGCAAUUAUCUAGUUUCAGAGGAUGAUGCAUCUGCUACCAAUGGAGAUAAAGAUUCACUUCUACUUGAUGGCAUGGCAGAUGCUGAAGUCGAAAGAAGAUUAAAGGAUGCAACAUCAGCAUGUUCAACUAUCCCUGCAGUGACUGCUAAUUUAGAUCCCAGACUCAAUUCUGCUGCUUCUCUUCAACACACAAUGGUGUCUUCUUCUGGUACAGUUGCACCACCAACAGCACAAGCAUCUGUGAUGCAAUUUGGCAAUGUACAGAUCCCUCAAUCUACUACUCUAGUUAAGCCAAUGGGUCAAGUUGCUCCUCCAGAACCGAUCUUGCAUAGUUCUCCUGCCAGAGAAGAGGGUGAAGUACCUGAAUCCGAAUUAGACCCAGAUACAAGGCGUAGGCUUCUCAUAUUGCAACAUGGGCAAGAUACAAGGGAGAACACAUCAAGUGAACCUCCAUUUCCCAUUAGACAUCCCAUACAAGGCUCUGUUCCCUGUGUCCCAUCACAUAGGGGAUGGUUUUCUGUAGAAGAGGAGAUGGGUACACAGGCACAGCAACUUAGUCGGCUAGUACCUAAAGAAUUCCCUGCAGAUUCUGAACCAUUGCAUAUUGAGAAGCACUGGCCUCAUUGUCCACCACUGUUGUCCAACGUUGACAAUUCAAUUUCAUCUUGUAGAACUCUCCAUGAGAGCCACCAAAGAUUGCCAAAGGAGGUUCAUCAUAGGGAUGAUGGCUCAAGCCAAUCACACCCUAGUUUUCAUUCCUUCCCUGGUGAUGACAAUCCCUUGAGUAGUUCAUCUUAUAGCAACAAGGAUUUUGACUCUAAAUCUGGACGUUCUUUGUUUCAUGCUGAUACUACAGUUGGAGUAUUAAAGGAAAUUGCACAGAAGUGCAGAACUAGAGUGGAAUUCCGGUCAUCAUUAGUUGCUAGUACCGCAUUACAAUUCUCCAUUGAGGCAUGGUUCGCUGGGAAAAAGGUUGGUGAAGGAAUUGGUAGAACUAGAAGGGAAGCUCAACGCAAGGCUGCUGAGUGUUCAAUCAAACAAUUGGCCGAUGUAUAUAUGUCUCAUGUUAAGGCAAAUUCUGGUUCUAAUUAUGGUGAUGUGAGUGGAUUUCAUGGUUCAAACGACAAUGGUUUUGUGGGUGGUGUUAAUCCUCUUGAUAAUCAGCUAUUUCCUAAAGAAGAGUCAGUUUCAUUCUCAAUUGCAUCUGAGCCAUCUAGGGUUUUAGAUCCUAGGUUGGAAGUCUCUACAAGGUCAAUGGGUUCAAUUUCUGCUCUCAGAGAAUUGUGCAUGAUGGAGGGUCUUGCUGUCAGUUUUCAAUCUCUGCCAAUUCCAGUAUCAACAAAUUCUGUUCGGAAAGAUGAAGUACAUGCACAGGUGGAGAUAGAUGGCCUGGUCUUUGCCAAAGGGAUUGGGUUAACAUGGGAUGAGGCUAAAAUGCAGGCUGCUGAGAAGGCACUUGGAAGUCUGAGAACAAGGCUUGGUCAAGGCACUCGGAAGCCGCUGGGUUCACCCAGGUCACUGCAAGGAUUACCAAAUAAACGACUAAAGCAAGAAUAUCCUCAAAUUCUGCAACGGUUUCCCUCUUCUGCUAGAUAUCCCAGGAAUGCUUCUCUUGUUCCUUGAAAAGUGUGACUGGAUUCAUCUCACUUAGUCAGUAUGACUUUUAUAGGACAUAUAUUUCUUAUUGAAGCAACAAUUCAAAGAAUGGCUGUCGAUUGGAUGACUUCCAUGCCAGUUGUGUGUAUUUGGGAAUGCUCUGUGGCGAGCCCAGAAGAUGACACAGUUGCAGUUGCUUUUCUGUGCUUUGCAUACCCGGUGCAAGUUUUAAUGCAAAAGAGUUGUCUAUUGGAAUUGAGCAUUUGAUCAGGAUUUUUAUUGACCGAAGCCAUGAUGCACCAUUCAGCACAGGUCUUUUUACACCUGAAGUUAGUUUUCACUAACCUUACCACCUUACUUUUAACUAUUUUCAACUGAAUCACGAAAUGCCAUUCAGUACAGCUAUACAGGUAUUUCAAUGCUUGAAGUUGGUUUUCAUUAACGUUACCUCCAAUUUGUCUUUCAUGUUGCUGACAAUUCUAUCGCUGUGUACUUGUUUGGAGACACGGUUAUUUGGCAAUUUUUCUAGGUUAGUUCACAGAAGUAGUACAGUUUAUCAGUUUUGAUUAUUAUUAUUUUUUAUUCCCAAACCUUUUGGUGACACAAUUAUUUAUUUGUUCAAUAGAAAUCUCUCACAAUUAAUCGUGUGUGCUUGUAUCUGUUGCUGUCGGUGCACGAUAUUGUAUUUGAGGUGUACAUGCAACAUAUUACUCUGCUGAAAACUUAAUUGUAGCCUGGAGUAACAGCUUACUAUGCUCACUGUUAAUACUAUAUGAAGAAUAUUUAGC
Molecule: RNA transcript, 3996 nt
Organism: Abrus precatorius (Indian licorice)
Lineage: Eukaryota; Viridiplantae; Streptophyta; Magnoliopsida; Fabales; Fabaceae
Gene name: RNA polymerase II C-terminal domain phosphatase-like 1
Exons: 18
Source: RefSeq, a predicted model, not a curated record